GCGUCGUUGUAGUAGUGGUUAACUGGUCUGCUUCCCAUUUGUAAUUAUCUUGAGUGGUUACGGGUUCACCAAGCAGGAGACGUGGGUUCGAACCCCACACGACGCA
This is a non-coding RNA of Hyaloscypha variabilis F, 106 nucleotides long. NCBI's taxonomy places the organism in Eukaryota, Fungi, Ascomycota, Leotiomycetes, Helotiales, Hyaloscyphaceae. The record is from the annotation of a GenBank genome assembly.